ACGAACGCUGGCGGCGUGCUUAACACAUGCCAGUCGCACGGGUCUGCCCUGUUUUUUGCGGGGUGGGUCAGUGGCGAACGGGUGAGUAACACGUGAGUAACCUGCCCCUCACUUCUGGAUAACCGCUUGAAAGGGUGGCUAAUACGGGGUGUUCUGGCUGUGCCGCCUGGUGUGGCUGGGAAAGAUUCACUUUUGUGGUGUUUUGGUGGGGGAUGGGCUCGCGGCCUAUCAGCUUGUUGGUGGGGUGAUGGCCUGCCAAGGCUUUGACGGGUAGCCGGCGGGGGGGGGGGGGGGGUCCAGUGGGGAUGGGGGUAGGGCCCGGGCCCCGGGGGGGGGGAGGGGGGGGGGGUAGUGAAAAGUGGGGGGAAGCCUGAUGCAGGGGCGCCGGGGGGGGGAGGGGGGCCUUCGGGUUGUGAACCUCUUUCGCCGGGAAAGAAGGCCCUGCUUUUUGGGGUGGGGUUGAGGGUAGCGGGGUUAUGAAGCGCCGGCUAACUACGG
Molecule: ribosomal RNA, 498 nt
Filed under: uncultured bacterium
Lineage: Bacteria
Description: partial 16S ribosomal RNA
Rfam family: Bacterial small subunit ribosomal RNA
Source: RNAcentral